Molecule: ribosomal RNA, 468 nt
Filed under: uncultured bacterium
Lineage: Bacteria
Description: partial 16S ribosomal RNA
Rfam family: Bacterial small subunit ribosomal RNA
Source: RNAcentral
GACGAACGCUGGCGGCGUGCUUAACACAUGCAAGUCGAACGGAAAGGCCCUUCUCGGGGGGUGUGCGCGAGUGGCGAACGGGUGAAUAACGCGAGUAUAACCUGCCCGUCACUGGGGUAUAACUUGAGAAAACGGGCGCAAAUAGCGGAUAGGAGCUCCUGCUGCGGGGUGGGGGGGGGAGAGUUUCGGCGGUUGGGGAGGGACUCGCGGCUUAUCAGCUUGUUGGUGGGGUAGUGGCUUACCAAGGCUUUGACGGGUAGCCGGCCUGAGGGGGUGACCGGCCACAUUGGGACUGAGAUACGGCCCAGACCCCUCCGGGAGGCAGCAGUGGGGAAUAUUGCAAAAGGGGCGGAAGCUUGAUCAAGAACCGCGGCGGGCGGGAUGCCGGCCUUCGGGUUGUAACCCGUUUUCGUCUGUGACGAAGCGUGAGUGACGGUAAUGGGUAAAGAAGCACCGGCUAACUACGUG